Molecule: long non-coding RNA, 1095 nt
Organism: Canis lupus familiaris (dog)
Lineage: Eukaryota; Metazoa; Chordata; Mammalia; Carnivora; Canidae
Exons: 6
Source: RefSeq, a predicted model, not a curated record
CUUUUCCAUGAUGGCGUUUUCACCCAUAACAAGGUUAUUGUACUAUUCUCUGUAUGUUACCUUCAUCCUUGGAAAUCGCCUUCAGAUGCCGGAGAUACCUUUAGCAAGAUCCUUUUUUCCAGAAAACCUGUUUCUUUCCUCUCUUUCCCAAUUAGCCAGCCUGAAUGAAUUCUACAUUUAUAACUGGUUUCUCCGUAGAAUUUGGUCUGUGACCACAGAGCAAACAGCAAGACCAGGGACACAAGGUAGAGAAGAGUGAGUGGAAAACAUCUCAUCUGAUCUCUACACGGCCAAUGACUGUCGAAGGGGCGGUGCAAUCAGGUCCCUAACCUGCUGGGCCUGCCGCCAGAGGGUCCCGUCCAGGCUGCUGCAGGAGCAGCCCCAGGAACCAGGCCGGACCUCGAGAAGCCGAGGGAAGGGGAGUCGCGGGCUUCAGGCUUCAGAAAGAAGCGAGGCAGGGGAAAUCCCUUCUGGAAGGAGGGGUUGAGGAGGUGUCUGGCCGAGGGUGAGUCUUCAAGAGGGCGGGACAUUAACGCUGUGAUGUGAAGCUCUGCCGGUGUUUUUCUACAGUUCACACAAUCACCAGAAAGCCCGUGUCUUGGCACCAGAACCUGGAGGAACCUGCAGACGAUGGGGCCGGGAGUGGAGACCUCAUACCGUGCCGAUGGAGACAGACAAGUAGCCAGGUUCCUAAAUCUUAUCCACCAGGCCGCUCAGGGGCCACGGAAGAGAUACCCAGACACGCAAACAGAAAGCCCAGAAAUUGGACGGGACUCUGAGGCCUAGGAGUGUGUGCUGAGCCCCUGGGGUGCGCUGGCCCAGGCCCCACGGACUCUGAACCCAGGUUGCCCUCCCUCCCCGGGGGUUGCCUUCUGAUGCCCACCAUCUCCUCUCUGGGUCAGCCCGGAAUGUGACGAGCGCAGGCUGAACCGUGUCAGGGUGCACAGCGACAUUGCGCCCCACAAGGCUAAAGCGUGGAGCUGGCGAGAAGAUGAUCGCCUCGCGUCGUAUUCAGCGCCCACCUCGGUCUCAUCCCUGAAACCCAGCGUGUGGGCUGUGUGGAUAAAUAAAGAUGACUUUCCAGCGUCAGUCUGA